This is an RNA transcript of Felis catus (domestic cat), 4669 nucleotides long. It is a transcript of the gene named growth differentiation factor 15, with no coding region annotated. The transcript is spliced from 5 exons. The record is from RefSeq and is a predicted model, not a curated record. NCBI's taxonomy places the organism in Eukaryota, Metazoa, Chordata, Mammalia, Carnivora, Felidae.
CCUGCAUGGCAGAGGCGGCCGGGAGUCCCAGGCCUCUGCCUGCACUUGGUUUCCACCAGCCCACAAACAACAGCAUGGCAGCCAUCCCCUGCAGCGUCUUGCUGGUGGCCACCCUCGACUAUCACUGGCACCGCCUGGGUUCCACUUCCAGUAACACCUCCUGCGGAAGGGCAGAGUAUCCUGGGGAAGCCAUCCCUCACCACCCCAGUUCCCCAAGACUAACCCGGGUCACUGAUGGGCAAGCUGCUUUUUGGGGAAGUCCACUCUCCCAUUCGCGGCCACAGUGUUGGGAGUCCCCAGAACCCUCAGAAUCUCUCCAGGCCUCCAGUGGCAGGAUCACCUGUGACUUGGCUCUGGAAGCUAUAUGAGGACACAGCUUGGUGGCCAGCCUGACAAGGCUAACGCCUGGCCCCAGUCCUGAGUGGGCACCACCAGGCACCAGCCUUCAGGAGGCGGUAGGCUCAUCAGAGCCCAUCCCUCCCCUCCCCGUAGACCAGGCAGGCUGCAGCAAGCAGACCAGUGGUUUCUUUUCUAUCAAAACAGCAAAACACUAAAAAGGAGGUUGAGAGAAUCCCACUCUCUACUAUCCAAGCCACAAGCAUGCCUUUCUGACGCUCUGUUAUUGUGUGCCUUGCACCAAGUGGAAAAUCUACUCCAAGCAGCUAAGUUAAAAACAAAAAAUGGGGAAAUAAAUACAUUGUGAGGAACAUUUUCAUGCACACUGCAUCUCCAAUGUUAUGAGUCUUCCCACUUAGGAUCUUGGAAUCCCCAGGAUGUGCCAAAUCCAGGCCCGUCCCACACCCAACUGCCUGUCCAUCCUGAGAAUCUCUGAUAGGAAAUGUUACCGGGGCCUGGGGAAGAGAGUGCCUACUUCCAGCAGUGAGUGAGGUGUGUCCCCUGUGAAUGCUGCCACCCAGAGGCAGACCUGAGUGACUGUAGGUGCCCCUGAAUGUAUUCGGUGAAUGCCCACUUUGUGUCAGGCCUUGAUUGGGCACUGAGGACACAGAAAUACCAAGACAGGCAAAAAAGCAUCCCAUUUGAGCUCAGUCGAGUGAGGAAUAUAGGUGAAUGCAAAGAAAAAUAAUAAGAAAGUAGUGGACGGUGGGAAGAAUUGUGCUGAGAAGUCAAUCCAGGCCAUCUAUUAAUGAAUGGAGUCAGAGGUGAUUUAGAUGGUCGGCGGAGCAGGGGGGACUCCCUGAGGAAAUGAUAUAUGAACUGAGACCUGGAAGAACAGGACCCGGGGGAGUUGGAGGAUAAGCAUUUGUGGCAUAAGAGCAGGUGCAAAGGCCCUGGGGUGGAAACAAGCUCGGUGUUCAACAGCAAAACUGUUGAAGAUGGGGCCAGAGAGGUGGGGGGGGGGGGAAGAAGCCACCAAAUCUCAUGGGUGAUGGUGAGGGUGUGGGUCUAGUUGAAGAGCCAUGAAUUAGACAUAGGAGCUGGGGAGGGCUGGGAUCUGAUUCAUGCCAGAGGCAAGAAAGAUGACUGGGGACAGGAGUGGCCACUUGAACAGUGUCUAGGGUGGGCAUGCAGGGAAUUAAGGUAGUAAAGACCCUCAUAGUUUCCCUCUCCCGCCCCAGAUCAUUCCCAAGUGUUGGGGAACCCAAGGGAGCCUCAAAAUUAAUACCAAGGUCACCCAAAGCCAGCAGAUGCCGUAUUGAGCCUCUCCCCAAAUAACAGCUGUUGCCUUUGCUGAACAUUGUGUUGCCCGUGGGCCUUUUUAUCCCUCUAGGCUGCUGCUUGUCAGGCUGGUCCCCCUACCCAGUAUGCGUGUCCUCUCCACUUCUCAAACACUUAACGCAUUCUUCAAAACCCACUCCGGAUUCCCUUCUUAUAUGCAGCCUUUUCUCAGCUCCUUCGUUCAUCUCCCUCUGGGGCCCUUGACCCCAUCCCUCCCUCCAGGCCAGGCUUGACCUCUCAGGACUGAGGGUGCCUGUGUCCAGCUGUCUCCCCUAGAUUGGAGGGUUGGCAGGAGCCAGGCUGGAAGCAGCUGACAGGACACCCAGCUGAGGCAUGAGAAUUUGAACAAACUCUUAAAAGACACUGAGACUCAGUUCCUGACAAGAAACCAAGGAAGCCUUCUUAGAGGAAGUGGCAUUGAGCCUGACCUUGAAGGGUCUUUUGCCCCUGCUGGUGCUGCCGCCCGAGAUUCCCUCAUUCCCUCAGCCAACCUGGAAAAGUUGAACCCAUCUAAGUCCAGCCAAAUCUCAAGAUGAGAAAACUGAGGCCCCGAGGUGAACCUACUUGCCCAAGAUCACACAGCCUACAAGAGGCGGCGCGGGGAUUUGAAUCCCGGCCGUCUGCCUCCAGAGUGUUGCAGGCAGAUGUGAGUCACUCACCCCUGUUCGGCCCACUGGUGCCUGGUAGCUGGCUGGCCCACGAACACAUUCUCAUAGUCGGGUGUGGAGGGUCUGGGCAGGACAGCCUCUGGGGGCUUAGGGCUGAGGCCUCGGCUACUAUACCUCGGCUGCUUGCCCAAGCCAGACCUGGAACCAUCCUGAGCAGCCCAUGUUUUGUCCAGGUCGUGGCUGCUGACCAUCCAGCGUCCCCGAAGUCUCCAGGCCAGCACUAGGCCAGCAAUGAGUGACUCAGGCUCCUUCGGAAAUGAUUAAAUGCAGCCUCUAGUGUGCCUCCCCUCUGGUCGGCUCUAGCCUCUGUCUGGCCCCAGUCGCCCCCUCUGGGAACCGGGUACGUAAUUCCAGGGCCCAAAGGUCUUGGAAGGCGAGGAGGAGACCCGACCCAAUCAGCCCCUCCCCUUCUCCCCGUGGAGCCCUUUCGGGUUAAAUUUCCCUUCCCCUCCCCUCCCCACCCCGAAUAUUUCGGGCGCCCUCAUUGGCCAAGACGGGACCAUAUGCAAAAUAAGCGGUUGCCGCGGAAACGGCCCGCCCCUGGCCCAACUAAUUGUUUCUUCCGGAACUGCGAAGCGUUGGGAGUCUUGGGCUGAUCUGGGGUGGGGCUGCUGAAGGGAACCCCCUGCAAUUUGGUUUGAGGCCCCUUCUCGGACCCCAGUUCUAGCGCCUCCGUCCUACCUUUGUGGUCCCACCGCCACGCUUUUGCCUCGGCGGUGCUGGAAGGCUCUGGCGCGGGACGGCUGCGUGGUGGCUGACCUGCACGAGAGGGCCCAAGCGGUCAGCACCCUCUGCGGAUUCGCUCUGGUCCCGGGCGCUCCUCAGGAUCCGCACCCAGAGACUCAGGGGAAGAGGAACUGGUGUCCGGGUGCAAGGCUGAGGGGAAGAAUGAAGACACAGAGACACGCCCCCCCCCUGCAAGACCUCAGGCCCAGGAUUCUCACGGGAGGGGGAGGGGCGACCUGCUUCUCUCUUGCUGGAACCCAGUGACUACAUGUCCCCCAUUAACACCCCGAAUGACUGCUAUCUCAUCAACUCGCUUCCUGGUCUCAACUCGGUUGCCGCCCAAGCCACGCAUUCACGUAUUCAUUCAACAAUCACCCAUGCUGGACUUCCAAAAGGCCUCGGCUAUGGCCAGGUUCUGGUGCAGCAACCCAGUCUUUGGAGAGAACAGAGCUAGCCACAGACACACCCAGUCCAGUGGAGUCGGGUCAGGGUCAGAGGGAGGGACAGAGUCCGGUAAGGGUUCCUAGAGGAGGGAGCAUUAGAAUUGGGGCUUCAACACGUGGGUAGAGUUUUGCCAAGAAUUCCUAAAACCUGCCUUUGACUCUCCCAGCUGCUAGCCUCCCCGACAGACUCAGAGCUCCUCCUCCUGUACAGUGAUGCCUCCACCGUGGAGGGGGCUGCGAGGAGGGCUCCCUGGGAGAGGAGAUGUUGAUUUCAGGACUUGGGGGUGAGUCACAGUAGCUGGCAGAAAUAAAUGCAUAGCAGAUUCCAGGCAGAAGUCACAACAGGCGUGGAGGCCCUGCAGCUUGAGAAAGCAUGGUGGGCUGGGACUGUGCAUUUAGGAGUGGAGUGGCUAGAUGGGCAGGCUAAGAGGAGGAAGUGGUGGUGUGGGCAGGCGGUGGGCAGUGCCGGCCUCAGAAGCCAGGCCGAGGAGUGGGGCGUUAUUCCCAGGGCCGUGGGGAGCCAAGGAAGAUGUGUGAGCAGUGGAGGAGUGCUGUGUCCAAAGAUUCCUCCAGAGUGAGCGAGCCUGCUGUCUGGAGGUGGGGAACCUGGGCAGGAGACCAGCGUUCCAGAAGGAGACAGAAAAAUUGCACAUCACAACUCUGAGGCGUCAUUUGUCUUCCCCUAUGAGACUGGCAAAGAUUCAGAAGUGUGCCGAUGUUCUGCGCUGGCCGGGCUAUGGGAAAACAGGGAAGCCCAUGCCACGCUUCAGGAUCACAUGUGGCGCUGUCCCAGUGGAAGGCACAGUGACCGGCAGAGGCCACGGGGGUUCCAAACACUCGUGCCUGCUGCCCCAGCAUCCGCUGCUGGGACUGUCCUGAAUAUUUCAUGUUGACAAAGUGACAAGGGCGGCAGUGGCAUGAACUAACUGAGGAGUGGAUAAACGAAACGUGGUGCCUCCAGACAGCGGAAUGUUACUCAGCCACGAAAAGUGGUGAGGCGCUGACGCUCCCUUGGUCACGGAUGAACCUUGAAAACAUCAGGGUGAGUGAAAGAAGCCAGUCACAAAAGCCCACAGAGCCUAUGACUCCACUGAUGCGAGACGUCCGGACCAGGCAAAUCCCUAGGGACAGAAAGCAGAUUGGUGGUCCCCAGGG